GUCUAUGGCCAUACCACCCUGAAUGUGCCCAAUCUCGUCUGAUCUUGGAAGCUAAGCAGGGUUGGGCCUGGUUAGUACUUGGAUGGGAAGGGAGAUGGCAUGAUACUGCACGCC
This 114-nucleotide ribosomal RNA is filed under the name Heterocephalus glaber (naked mole-rat). The record is from RNAcentral. Lineage: Eukaryota; Metazoa; Chordata; Mammalia; Rodentia; Bathyergidae.